Molecule: long non-coding RNA, 668 nt
Organism: Phacochoerus africanus (Common warthog)
Lineage: Eukaryota; Metazoa; Chordata; Mammalia; Artiodactyla; Suidae
Exons: 3
Source: RefSeq, a predicted model, not a curated record
UGGAUAAUAGUUGGAUUUGUUUCUGCUGUGCCACAAUGGGAACUCCCAUCUAGUGAUUUAUUGAUGGGACUCAGGAAGAAGUUUGCUCAGAUCUAGUAUCAAAAGAGGCUGUACAGCUCCUGGAAAGGUUGUAAAAUGUUCACAAGGCAGGACAGCACAGUGGUGGGUGCACAGACUCUAGCCAGGCUGCUUAGCUUCAAAGCCUGGCUCUGCCACGUACACAUAAGGGAGCCGUGAGAGCUUGGGAAAGCCCCUUGCCGUGCAGUAAGUGCUAAAAACACUAUCUGUUGUUAUUUUACAGUGUGAAUCUUGCAAAUGGCAUUUUCCUCUUGACGUUAUGCUAGGAUCAUCAGCGCCUUGGAAGACCUUGCAGGACUUCAUGGCAUAUCUCUUCAGGGGGAUCGUAGUCUGUCUGCUGGUCAUCUCCAACUGAUGCAGGGCUUCACCAGGAGUCACCGAAGUAAAGCCUGGAGAUGUCCAGCAGGACAUCCGGAUUUGGAGUUCAGAAAGAGGUCUAGAAGAAAGGCGGGAAAAUUAAGAUCCAGAGAAAUUCAGUAAUUUGCAGCAAGGCUGCAAAGCUAGUAAUUGAUAAAGACAGAGGAAUUUGAAUCUAGGUAAUCUGACUCUAGAUUUUACAAUCUUCUUUUCUGUUUUAAUAUUUUCUGCUU